AUUGAACGCUGGCGGCAGGCCUAACACAUGCAAGUCGAGCGAGCGGCGGACGGGUGAGUAAUGUAUGGGGACUGCCCGAUAGAGGGGGAUAACUACUGGAAACGGUGGCUUAUACCGCAUACUGUCGGAUGACCCAUGUGGUAUUAGCUAGUAGGUCAGGUAAUGGCUUACCUAGGCGACGAUCCCUAGGUGGUCUGAGAGGAUGAUCAGCCACACUGGGACUGAGACACGGCCCAGACUCCUACGGAGGCAGCAGUGGGGAAUAUUGCACAAUGGGCGAAAGCCUGAUGGAGCCACGCCGCGGGUAUGAAGAAGGCCCUAGGGUUGUAAAGUACUUUCAGUCGGGAGGCGUUACCGACAGAAGAAGCAACGGCUAACUCCGUGCCAGCAGCCGCGGUAAUUC
This 403-nucleotide ribosomal RNA is filed under the name uncultured bacterium. RNAcentral's name for it is "partial 16S ribosomal RNA". It matches the Rfam family "Bacterial small subunit ribosomal RNA", at positions 30 to 526 of the family's 1533-position model. The record is from RNAcentral.